Capsicum annuum is the source of this 4920-nucleotide long non-coding RNA. RefSeq lists it as uncharacterized. The record is from RefSeq and is a predicted model, not a curated record. The transcript is spliced from 2 exons. NCBI's taxonomy places the organism in Eukaryota, Viridiplantae, Streptophyta, Magnoliopsida, Solanales, Solanaceae.
UCCCUUUUUAUGUUCUUUCAGAUUCCUUUUUUGAUAAAAAAGAAAAUUCAUCUAAAAAUAACUCCCAUGAACUGAUUUUGUUUUUCAGUGUAAUCAUUAUUAAUUCUAGCUUUUAGUCAUUGUUAUCCAAUUUCUCUAUUGUUAUUUCAAGGAGUUAAAAAACAAAAAUCAAUUUGGUGAAAAAGAAAAUUCUCUCCGUACAACUUUGAGACCGUUGUUGUCAACGUUACCUUUGGUCACUUUUUUGCGUCUGAGCUUCACGCCCCGUCCCUAUGGGGGUGCCGGCAAAUCUCGCUGCUAGUCAUGACAAAUCUCGGCCAAGUAUGGCUAAAAUAAGAGUGGAAGUUGAUUUAACUCCAUUUUUGUGGGGUCCCAGUCCGCCUAAAGGUUUUUACCAGAAGCUCGAAUAUGAGAAUGUGCCAAAGUUCUGUAGACGUUGCAAAAUUUUGGGGCAUUCUAUUACGCAGUGUCGAAAAAUAGAGCAAAAAAAGAAUGAGGAAAAGGCUGCUGUGCAAAAUCAAAUUAAAGACAGAGAUGUUGCUGAAUCUAGUGGAACUAAUGAGAAUGAGGCUGCAACAAGGACUAUCAAUCAAUCAAAAAAUCAAGAGGAUAAGAAGGACAAUACUAAUGAAGCCAUGGAAAUUGGCAUGCCUACUAGAAAAGGCUGGCAAUGGAAAAUUGGACAGCAAGAGGAAACAACAGCAAAAAGAUCAUGAUUUACAACAAGUUAAUAGUGAAAGGACUUCUGAGAGCAAUCAGAACGAUAGGGAGCAAAGAAAAAGCAAGACCAGAGGGGAUUUGGAGAAUGGGAGCUCUGUUUUAAAGAAUAGGCUCAACAAAAUCAAGAAUAAAAAGAAGAAAAAAGUCCCAAAAAAAAAGAACCAAGGUGAAAGCGAAAAUUGGGACGGAUAUGGCCAAGGAUCAGAUCACGUGCGAUUCGGAGAAGCAGGAUUCUAACAUCAACCUUCAACAAAUAAGGGGGAGUAUGAGCACCAAAGAAGAAGCAAAAAGUUUAGAGAUCGUGAACACGACGAUUGAAAAAGAUGACAACAAACUACAGGACUCAAAUGAGCACGGCAAUGAAGAAAAUGCAGCAAAUGGAAAACAGAUGAUGAAAUAUGGGGAGGAUACAGGAGAUAACAUUAAAGAAAAAUGUAAUACUCCUGAUGAAUCCACUAGUGUUCCUAACAACGUAAAGAACAUGCCUGCUAUUAAUCUUGUUGUGGAUCUAAAUGAUAAUAUGCUGGACACAUACAGUUCUCAAGAAGUGAUUGGCAAUACAGAUGAUGAAAAUUUGGAGGUUACUAAUGAAAAUCUAACAGAGUGCGAGGAAUCAAUAGAGAGAAUUGAAAAGGAAAGUGAUGCCCAACAACAUAUGAGACAGACAUGUGAUAGAAAUGACAUCUCUCCAGUAAAGAGAGGCAGAAGCAUGCACAAAAGAAGAAACAUAUCCCGCAGAAUGAAAUCGACACCUCCUUUAAGGAGGGGUAGAAAUAAAAACUCCAACCUUUUAACGUAUCCUAAUGAUUAGUGCAAUCAUUUGGAACAUAAGAGGGGUGAGGUCUCGAAAAGCCAUUCAUAGACUCAAAAGGAUGGCUAACAAAUAUAACUUGGAUAUGAUCGUUAUUUCAAAACCGAUGGUGAGUAUGAACAAAGUGGAAGGGUAUAAAAGAUUUUUGGGAUUCAACCACUGCACUACAAAUAUCAACGGACAGAUAUGGUGUUUCUGGAGAGCGAAUUGUACUGUUACUACCAUUGAGAACCAUGAUCAACAUAUUACUUUGAAAGUUCAAAAAGACCAUAACAGCCAGGAGUUAUAUGUUACUGCUAGUUAUGGAAAAUGCACUCGUAUCGAAAGAAUUGAAAUAUGGAGGAGUUUGGCAACUAUGAAUGCUAUUAUUAGUCAUCCUUGGUGUAUUGGGGGAGAUUUUAACGUGAUUCUCCACCCCAAAGAGAAAUUGGGAGGUUUUCCCCAUAGAAAUGCUGAAAGUUAUGAUUUUGCUGAAUGUAUGGAUUCUUGUGGUAUGAUCGAUAUCGGGGGUACACUGGUUCCAAAUUCACUUAGUGCAACAAUUGGAGACCAAGCACAAGAAUUCGGAAAAGACUGGAUAGGGUGUUUAUCAAUGAUAGAUGAUGGUCUCAAAUGUUUUGUUCCAACAUUGUUAAACACUUACCAAGGACCGGACCGGACCACAGACCUUUGUUGUUGCGAUGUGGUAACGGAAACAAUAUUUGUAUAAAAUACUUUAAAUUUCUGGACUUCUGGACUACUCAUCAAGAUUUUCUAGAGAUUGUGAGUAAUGAAUAGAGUAAGGUCAUUGAAGGUAACUCGAUGUGGAGAUUACAACAGAAACUCAAACUCCUAGAAAAAAGACUAUCCAAAUGGUCAAGGGAAGGAAGAUAUUAGAGAUUUGAAUGAACAAGCUGAUAUCUGAGAGGCAAAAAUGCAAGUACUAGAGGAUAUGGACUUGAAUUUGAGAACUGAAGAUACCAGGGAGGAACUGAAUAAAGGGCAGGCAGAAUAUAUUUGUUGGCUCAAUAAACAGAACAAUUUUUCAAGGCAAAAAUCUCAUGUCAGAUGGUUUGAGGAGGGUGACAGUAAUACCAAAUAUUUUCAUGCGAUGAUAAGAGACAGAAGAAGAAAUCUAUGUUUACAUAGAAUCAAAAAUAAGAAGGGAAAGUGGGUCUCUGGUGAUGAUAAAAUUGCCAAAGUUGCUAUCAAAUAUUUUAAGCGACUUUUUAAUUAAAAAGUGCUACAGUUGAUCCAAGGAUCUUGGAGUGUAUUCCCAAUUGCAUUAAUGAUGAUGAUAACAGGAUUAUGACUUCAUGUUCAGAUGAAGAUGAGAUUAAAGAUGCGGUAUUCAAUAUGAGCACAGAUAGCGAACCUGGACCUGAUGGAUUUUCAGGGAAAUUCUAUCAUACUUGUUGGGAUAUUAUUAAAAAGGAUGUGAUAGAAUUUGUACAGUUUUUCUUUCUCGGAGGAAAACUGACCAAAUUCUUCACUCACACCCUUCUAGUACUAAUCCCUAAAGUAUAGUGCCCAGACAACCUCUCUGAAUUUCAGACCUAUUAGCUUGAGCAAUUUUUCUAGUAAGAUUAUUACCAAGAUUAUUUCCAAAAGACUUAAUCCUAUGUUGCCUCUUAUGAUAUCAGAAAAUCAAAGUGGUUUUCUUAAAGGAAGGCUUAUUACAGAGAAUAUUCAAUUAGCUCAGGAAAUUGUGCAUAAUCUCAAAAGCAAGAACAAAGGAGGGAAUGUGGUCAUCAAACUCGAUUUGACUAAGGCAUAUGACAGAAUGUUGUGGUCCUUUCUUAUUGCUGUCUUAAGAAGAUGAUAUUGUAAUAUUUACCAGUGGCGAAACCAAAUUCAUUAAAAUGGUGAUGAAACAAAUUCAUUGGUAUGAGAGAUGUUCAGGCCAGAAGAUGAAUUGAGCAACAAGUGUUUUUUCCUUACAGCCCCCGGGACUGGACCAAGCAGAAUCAACAAAAUAAGAGAUGCAACAGGCUUUCUGGAUAAGCAAUUUCCUUUUGAUUAUUUGGGAUGCCCGAUUUAUGUUGGUAAAAAGAGAGUGGAAUACUUUGAAAAAUAGCUUUCCAAGGUUAUCAAAAGGUUGAAUGGAUGGCAGAGUAACAUGUUAUCGUUUGGGGGCAAGAAUUGUGCUUAUUAUUAAACAUGUCCUUCAGUCUUUGUCAAUUUACACUCUCACCACUUUAAGUCCCCCAAAGGGCAUUAUAAAGCUUAUGGAGAAACAUUUUGUCAGAUUUUUUUGGGGAUCCACAAAUGGGGAGAACAACUACCACUAGAGUUCAUGGGAGAACUUAUGCUUUCCUAAAGAGGAAGGAGGAGUGGGAAUACGAAAAAAUGGCUGAUAUUUGUGAGAGUCUCAACAUAAAAAGGUGGUGGAGGUUCAGAUGCCAGGAUUCUCUUUGGUCCAAGUUCACUAAGCAAAAUACUGCAUUAGAGCCCAUCCAGUUAAACAAGGUUUGGGUUUCUGGAAACUCUCAUAUUUGGAGCACUUUGACUAAAAUAAGAACAAAAGCAGAACCAAAUAUGAUUUGGAAUAUUCAGAAUGUAGAAUGUAGUUUUUGGUGAGACAAUUGGACUGGACUUGAUGCUAUUGCCCAUUUAUAUCCACAACAUAACCAUUCUAUAAGGACCAAGGUCAGAAAUUUCAUUGACAAUCAGAGAUGGAAUAUGAGAAAACUUCAUGACGUUCUCCCUGAUUGGAUCUGUCAGCACAUAUACACUAUUAAAAUAGGCGCUCCUAACAAAAAUGACUACAUCAUCUGGAAACCAGCUGCUGAUGGAAUUUUUUCCAACAAAGAAGCCUGGAACAACAUCGGAGUUCACAGGCAAAUUGACCAGAUGAUCAAUAGUUCCUUUUAAAAUAUCUUUCCUUUCUUGGAGACUUAUUAAAAAUAAAUUGCCAUUUGCUCAGUUUGCAGGUUUGUUGAUGAGAUGCCAACCGAUUGUCUUUGUUGUGCAGUUCAACAUUUCUUUUUUGAGAGUGAGGUUGCACAAACUCUUUGGAAAUAUUUUGGGCAUCCAUCAGUUAUCAAAGAAAAUCUGCAAGAAUUUUUCUAAAAGAUUGGUGGAGUACUCCAACCAAGAAUACUAUUCACAAGCUGAUCGUUCAAAUACUACCGGUCAUUAUUUGCUGGGAGAUGUGGAAGGUCAGAUGUGCUUGUAGAUACGGCAGAUUGUACCCAAGAAGAAUGGAGCAUCAAAUUCUUUGGAAUCAACUUUGCGAAGUGAUCGAGAAAGUCAGUAGAAGUUUAGUUAUUUGGAGCAGGCCUCAAGCGGGAAUGAUAAAGAUCAAUACAGAUGGAAGCUUUAUGGAGCAGAACGGCAAGGCAGGCAUUGGUGGAGUUGCCAGAGAUGGGGAUGGGAAUAUGAUCUUUGCGCAUGCUGUUCCAGUAAAA